GAUGAACGCUGGCGGCGUGCCUAAUACAUGCAAGUCGAGCGAACAGACGAGGAGCUUGCUCCUCUGAUGUUAGCGGCGGACGGGUGAGUAACACGUGGAUAACCUACCUAUAAGACUGGGAUAACUUCGGGAAACCGGAGCUAAUACCGGAUAACAUGUUGAACCGCAUGGUUCAACAGUGAAAGACGGUCUUGCUGUCACUUAUAGAUGGAUCCGCGCCGCAUUAGCUAGUUGGUAAGGUAACGGCUUACCAAGGCAACGAUGCGUAGCCGACCUGAGAGGGUGAUCGGCCACACUGGAACUGAGACACGGUCCAGACUCCUACGGGAGGCAGCAGUAGGGAAUCUUCCGCAAUGGGCGAAAGCCUGACGGAGCAACGCCGCGUGAGUGAAGAAGGUCUUCGGAUCGUAAAACUCUGUUAUUAGGGAAGAACAAAUGUGUAAGUAACUAUGCACGCCUUGACGGUACCUAAUCAGAAAGCCACGGCUAACUACGUG
This 497-nucleotide ribosomal RNA is filed under the name uncultured bacterium. Its description in RNAcentral is "partial 16S ribosomal RNA". It matches the Rfam family "Bacterial small subunit ribosomal RNA", at positions 28 to 507 of the family's 1533-position model. The record is from RNAcentral.